AGCUCCAAUAGCGUAUAUUAAAGUUGUUGCAGUUAAAAAGCUCGUAGUUGGAUUUCUGGAUGGAGCGACCGGUCGGGCAUUAAUUUGUCUGCACUGGAGUCGGUUCCGUCCAUCCUCUUGGAAAGUGCGUCGGGCAUUAAGUUGUUUGGCGUAUGAUCCAAGUCGUUUACUGUGAAAAAAUUAGAGUGUUUAAAGCAGGCCUUCGCCUUGAAUACAUUAGCAUGGAAUAAUAAGAUAGGACUUUGGUCUAUUUUGUUGGUUUGCAGACCGAAGUAAUGAUUAAUAGGGAUAGUUGGGGGUAUUUAUAUUCCGAUGUCAGAGGUGAAAUUCUUAGAUUUUCGGAAGAUAAACUUAUGCGAAAGCAUUUACCAAGGAUGUUUUCAUUAAUCAAGAACGAAAG
Molecule: ribosomal RNA, 400 nt
Filed under: phytoplankton environmental sample
Lineage: Eukaryota
Description: partial small subunit ribosomal RNA
Rfam family: Eukaryotic small subunit ribosomal RNA
Source: RNAcentral